This 482-nucleotide ribosomal RNA is filed under the name uncultured bacterium. RNAcentral describes it as "bacterial SSU rRNA". It matches the Rfam family "Bacterial small subunit ribosomal RNA", at positions 29 to 506 of the family's 1533-position model. The record is from RNAcentral.
UUGAACGCUGGCGGAAUGCUUUACACAUGCAAGUCGAACGGCAGCACGGGGGCAACCCUGGUGGCGAGUGGCGAACGGGUGAGUAACACAUCGGAACGCGUCCUGUAAUGGGGGAUAACCUGGCGAAAGCCAGGCUAAUACCGCAUACGCCCUGAGGGGGAAAGCGGGGGACCUUCGGGCCUCGCGCGAUUGGAGCGGCUGAUGUCGGAUUAGCUAGUUGGUGGGGUAAAGGCCUACCAAGGCGACGAUCCGUAGCUGGUCUGAGAGGAUGAUCAGCCACACUGGGACUGAGACACGGCCCAGACUCCUACGGGAGGCAGCAGUGGGGAAUUUUGGACAAUGGGCGCAAGCCUGAUCCAGCCAUGCCGCGUGAGUGAAGAAGGCCUUCGGGUUGUAAAGCUCUUUCAGACGGAAAGAAAUCGGGCGCGUGAAUAGCGUGCCUGGAUGACGGUACUGUCAGAAGAAGCACCGGCUAACUACGU